GUUGGAAGAUUUUUAAUCACAGUCUCAAUUUCAGUGCUUGCGAUUGGUCUGUUUAUAUUUUCUAUUCCUUCCUGGUUCAGUCUCGGAAGGUUUAAAUCGCCCUUUAACAGUCUUCUGGUUUUAUUUUAUAGGUUUGGGAAAGGGGUGAGUUGGGAGGCCUGAGGCAGCCAGGUUUUUGUUUGUGUGUUUGCUGUAUGCCGGAAGUUCUCUUACUGUCUGUCUCCCCACCACCCAGGAGCAGUUGCUGAGGGAUUACAGUGUCUGUGGGGUGGCUCAGCAUAACCUUUAUUCUAAGAAAUGCACAUCUUGCUCCGUAUCCACACCCUCCCCCACCCCACAUCAGAUUCUCUUGGGACACAGAGCUGAGCAGUUUCAGAGCCUAUCCUUGAAGAGCUGAGAGUGUGCUGAUGGAGUGAGACAAGAGUGGGACAGUGGAACAGAGCACUAUGGACAUGGUCCUGGAGGAGCAUGCAGCCAAUGGCCUGUGAGCCAGGAAAGGCACAGGGAGGGGAGCUGCUGCCUGAGCGAUGUCUUGAAGAAAUGUGGGAGGUGGCAGGGACUGUGGCGUGGGGAACUGAUCAGUCCGGGUCCUGGCAAGAAACAGAUAAUUUGAGUCAUCUGAGGAGAGUUUAAUAAGGGACUGGUUACAAAGAUGAGGGCAGAGUGCAGGGAAACCCCAGGGGAUACUACAGUACCUGUGGGAGCUCUCAGCAUCCCAAGGCUUGAGGGGGCAGGGCAGUGAGAGGUCAUCAGAAGCCAGAAAGAGACAGAACUGUGUGCCACCUGGCAGGAACUCUCAUGACAGUAAAGAAGGCUGCUGAUGCAGUACACACAGGCCAGCCUCCCUGGGCACCCAGCAUGGCAGAGAGCAGAUCUGGAGGAAGGAACAAAGAAAGCUCUGCAUCACAGAGACAGGAGACGGAAGAACAUUCCUUGCAAGGGAAACUGCACAUAGAAAGGCAAGGAGUGACAAAACAGCGGUUUGCCUGGGCACAGGGACAUGGGACAUGCUGAGGGCCUGGUAGGAGAUGGGAACAGAGGGAGGUCAGGGCCUGAGCAGGGGAAUGAUGUAGUUGGUAAUAAUGGUGGUGUGAAGGGUAUCUUGGAGGAGGACAGGAGCAGGAGAAGGGAGGCCAAUAAAGAGGUUACCGCAAUAUGGAAUGUCUGGGGGAAGAGGAAGAAUCUGGACCCAGGGCUUGCCAGUCAGAAGAGCUGGACUCAAAUCCCUGCUCUGCUGCUUACAACUGUGAGACGCUGGGUGAGUCUUUUAAUCCUCAAGUUAUAGUUUUGCCAUCUGCAGACACGGGAGCUGUCACGAGAAUCAGCGUUUGGGUAAACCAGGUGCCAAGCACAGGGCAGGGUGACUGACACACCCUGGAGUUAUGCGGUGCACAGGCUGCGCAGCCAGACUGGUCAACCUGAGUCCAGGCAAGAAGAGCUGAAGGCCUAAUUAAGGCACCGGCAGUGAUCACAGGUAGCACAUAGAUUCGAGAGUCUUCUCUCUGGAUGUGAGAAUAAGGAAGGGGAAGACUCCGAGUUGUGUAACUUGGGUGACUUGGCUAAACAUUAACUAGGUCAAGGGGCACAGAAACAGGAAAAAGUUGAGGGGACAGGGAAGGAAGAAGAGGAACGUGGUUCUAAACAUGUCAAGUCUCGGGAGCCACCAAAGCACUCAGGUGGACUUGCCUAUGAGACAACUGGAAACAAGGGAUCGAGGAGAGAGGCAAGAUUUAUGAGUCAUCAGGACUGAGAGGGUGGCUGAAGCCAUGGGAAAUAUGAGAUACCCUGAGAAGAAGUAGAACGAGAAGAGAAGGGGUCACUGAGAGAAUCCCAUUAACAGUAUCCAUUUAAAUGGAGCACCUAACGGGGAGAGUCAGCCAAAACAAAAAAAAAAAAAAAAAAAAAAAAAAAAAUAGAGCAGGAAAAGACCAGGAGAGCAGAGGAGGAACAAGAGAAAACCACCAUGGAAGCUGAGGGAGGAGAGAGACUCCAUGGUCCAUAGCACUAAGUGCUUCAGAGAGAAUGAAUGGGAUGAGGCCAGACAGUGAGCCAGAGACUUAGUAACUAAGGCAUCCCUGGUGAACUCAGCGACGGCAGCCUCCAUAGGGAGCACAGGAAGCCCAAUUAUAACGAGCUGAAAAAUGAGUGGGGGGUUUUGGAAAUAUAUACAGCAAAUGCAAUCAUUCCAAAAGCCUAGCACUGAAAGAGCAAGAUACCACGGUAGGCUGCGGGAGGAUAAUUUCUUUUUAGGAUGGUGAAACCCGAGCCUAUUUUUAGGCUAAAAAAGGAACAAAACAGAGAGAGCCUCCAGGUUGAGGGGAAAUACAGAGAAAAUGAUGGCUCAAGAAACAGAGACAGCAGAAGACCGGGUCCAACUGGAGAAGCUCACCUCGGAAAAGAGGCAGCAGUGCUUCCUCUGGGUCGACAGGGCACCGACUGUGAACCUGCUGCACCCCGGUCUGGCUCCCUCCCCCCUUCCUAGAGAGCACUACGGUGGCCCUUCUGAAGUAGCUAAGCCUUUCCCUGGCAGAGAGUUGAGCCUGAUGUGCAAGUAGGAGGAACGAGACUGGCUGAGGCAAGAGGUCAGCGUAACUGAUCUCUGAUGAAAAGCAGAGGCUGUUUUACCUGCAACAGACCUGCAUUUUAUCGUCCCUUACUUACUUCCCUUUCCUCAGGGUGAGGAUGACUCCCAGAAAGAGACGUGGAUCAAAAGGAAAGCAUGUGCAAUCAGAAAUAUUUUGCUGCAGUCUUCUUGGGAGAUAUGUAUGAAUUCAUCCUGACUCUGACGGCCUGAAGGACGAGGCUCAUUGUUUUGGGAGUAGGGAUAGGUAGAUCUGACCACUGGCCUGCUGCUGGCAUGGCCACUCCAACUUUGGAAGGAAACGCACCAGCAAUACCUCACCACCUCCAGCCAUCAAAUGCCAUCUUCAACAACUGAUUAUGUGCCAGUACGAGACGAUGAGGGAAAACGAGCCCAUGUGCAGAUCACGACCAUCAGGGUUUGCCCUUCUGAGGCUCUUCCCCUCCAGAAAACCUUUUAGUGGGGCCAUUAUUAAAAACAAGAGGAACACAUUUACUGUUUGUUAUGGUUUCAUUUCUCCCAUCCACCCUCUGAUAGUUACAAGACAAACUGGACAAGAGAUAAAGUCAAAGACCAAGAAAAUCAAAAGAAGACCAUCAGCUCCUCAAGCCAAGAGCUAAUGCACAGCAGUAAGAGAGUAUGGGGGUCAGCAUCCUUGGCCAACUUGAGGAGGGAGCAGGUAUAUUUUCAAAGGCAGCCUUGCUUUGUGGUUAAUCCCACAGCAUGAAGAGAUGCUGGGCUCUCUCCCGGAGCAAAGCUGAACAAGGCCACUUGACUGCUCAUUUCUCAGUGUUCUCAACUGCAGUGCUGCCUUUUCAAUAGUCAUUUGUGUGCUGUUCAUUACCUCCUAUUAGAACACAUGUUCGGAAGUUCUAAUGUUAAUAUUUUUUGUCACCUUCCCCAAAUAUCUUUACAUAUGAGUCACAUUCAGGGCUCAACAAAUGCUUGCAGGUUGGUUGGUUCGUCCGUCCAUCCGUCCAUCCGUCCAUCCGUCCAUCCAAUCCUGGAUAAAGGUCUAUAGAAUGAGUGUACCCACUUCCUGGGAAUUUCAUAAAGAUUUAAGAAAUCAAUUUGAUUUAACAAAUAUGAUUUGAGCACAAUUAUGUACAAGGCAGUUGUCAAGGAGACAUAAAGAUGAAUAAGAUGUA
Aethalodelphis obliquidens (Pacific white-sided dolphin) is the source of this 3729-nucleotide long non-coding RNA. RefSeq lists it as uncharacterized. The record is from RefSeq and is a predicted model, not a curated record. Lineage: Eukaryota; Metazoa; Chordata; Mammalia; Artiodactyla; Delphinidae. The transcript is spliced from 2 exons.